Molecule: long non-coding RNA, 589 nt
Organism: Lates calcarifer (barramundi perch)
Lineage: Eukaryota; Metazoa; Chordata; Actinopteri; Centropomidae
Exons: 2
Source: RefSeq, a predicted model, not a curated record
GAUCUGUUAGAAAACCACAAGACUUUUUCUGUGUAAUUAUAAUACUGUAACAGGGUAGACUUGUAUCAAUAUAGGAUUUUGUGUGACACUAGUGGUGGAUUUGUGGCGCAUGUGUGGGUGUGGCUUUGCAGGGUGUGUUUGUGGAGUGAUUUCAUGGUGGUGGGCUAAUCUGAAACAGGUGUGCUGGAUGUGAUUUUCAGCCAGCUUAACUACCACCACCCACACUCUCCUUCAGUCUCCCUUUGUUCUCCUCUGCGGCAGAAGGUUAGUGUGGCACGGGCUGGGGUAUCCUUGGGACGGCAGGUCGGACUGGAAGGCGGCAAGAGCUGAGUCGCAGCAGUGCCUCGCCGCCACACGGAGCUGAGUGCAGCAGGUGUCAGUGCACAGUACGAGGCGCCAGCAGCAGAGUGUAGCACACUGAGUCAGCAUACCAGUCGACUAGCCGAAUCCAGCCUAGUGGCCGUGAGGCCCGGCCACUCACUAGGCCACACACAUUCAGCCAUCUUUCCUUCAGUCUUUUAGAGUGACUGUUCCUGGACUCAUUUAACUUGUUAUGGUUAGAAAUAAUAAAAGACUUCUUCAAAUUUUA